CGACCUCUAAGCUUCGCCUAGG
This 22-nucleotide small nuclear RNA is filed under the name Arabidopsis thaliana (thale cress). RNAcentral describes it as "snRNA_13735". The record is from RNAcentral. Lineage: Eukaryota; Viridiplantae; Streptophyta; Magnoliopsida; Brassicales; Brassicaceae.